This is a long non-coding RNA of Panicum virgatum (switchgrass), 500 nucleotides long. RefSeq lists it as uncharacterized. NCBI's taxonomy places the organism in Eukaryota, Viridiplantae, Streptophyta, Magnoliopsida, Poales, Poaceae. The transcript has 2 exons. The record is from RefSeq and is a predicted model, not a curated record.
CACCACUGUGCAGGUGAUCGAUGCCAUGCUUUGAUGUGCUCAUGAUAAUAUUGGUGCUGCCGUGAGCCUGCUAUUCAUUUGGGUGAUCCAAUCUAAUUAUAUUCCAGUUGGCUUUCUCAACUUGGCGUUUGCAUAUUGGGUUAACUGCAGAGGAAGCUCAGUAAGGAGUGGAACGCUGGUACUGCCGUGCCGCGGUGCCUCGUUCUGUCGCCGACGAGGAAGCUCGCUCAGUAGGAUUGGAGAGCAAUGCAACGGAGCUUCUUGGUUGUUGAUAUACUAGCAUCCGAGGCGAAUGCAUACCAGAAACUACUCCCUACUAACGUGAAACACUAUUUUAGAUGCAUCACAGGAGAAGAUAUUAAAUAGACUGUUUUAUUAGUCAGUGAUUCAUGUCUGGAAUUUUUGUUAAUUAUCUCCUUUUAUGAUUUAUGGUACAUUUGAAUGAACUAUUUUAUGGUAUAAUUUAUACUUCAUAUAGUAUGGUUAGAUAAUUUUCACUA